This 333-nucleotide long non-coding RNA is filed under the name Capsicum annuum. Its description in RNAcentral is "long non-coding RNA (CANN_LNC021544)". The record is from RNAcentral. Lineage: Eukaryota; Viridiplantae; Streptophyta; Magnoliopsida; Solanales; Solanaceae.
GGACUUUAUAGGUGCUUUUUCAUUUUGGAAGUGGUUAUGUUUGGUGACAUGGUUGGUUGAAAAUUGUGAUGUAUAGGGACUUUAAAGUUGCUUUUUUGUUUUAAAAGUGGUUAUACUUGGUAACUUGGCAGGUUGAAAAUGGUUAAGUGUAGGGAUAUUAAAGGUGGUUUGUUGUUCUAGAAGUGGUUAUGUUAGGUGACUUGGUAGGUUGAAAAUGUUUAUGUGUAGGGACUUUGACGGUACUUUUUUGUUUUGAAAGUGGUUAUGUUUGGUGAGUUGGUACGUUAAAAAUAGUUAAAUGUAGUGACUUUAAAUGUACUUUUUUUUCAAUGU